Molecule: long non-coding RNA, 1496 nt
Organism: Urocitellus parryii (Arctic ground squirrel)
Lineage: Eukaryota; Metazoa; Chordata; Mammalia; Rodentia; Sciuridae
Source: RefSeq, a predicted model, not a curated record
UUCUGAUGAGAGUAGAGGCAUUGGCCUCCCCUUCGCCCAGCCCCCUGGCUCUUUACUGCCUUCCUGCUGAGUGGCUUGGGGAGACCCUGGAAGCUGAGGGGCAGGGAAGCCCUGUCACUCCAGGGUCCUUUGCAAGCAUUUGGCCCCAGGGAGAAUAAGAAGGAAGGAAGAUGCACGGACAGACCCCAGGGGAGAGUUAACAACAAGGCAGAAGUGAUGGCCUGUGACUUCUGAGACUAGGUCCAUUCAGAGCAUGGUGGCUUUCUUCCUGCUGGAGAGGAAGCAGCUGCCCCGUCAUGAAGCCACUCCAGGAACACUAURGGGACGCCCAUGUGUGAGGAACUGAGGCCACCCGCCCACAGCCAUGUGAGAGCAGCAUCUUGGAGGUGGCUCCUCCUGACCCAGUCGAGCCUUCAGAUGACUGCCCCCUGCCUAGUCUCGACUGUAACCACAGAGAGGAUCCAAGCCAGAGCCACCCAGCCCAUGUUCUCUCACAACCUCGUGACCCACGCAGACUGUGAGAUAGUGACUACUGCUGUGUUAAGCCAGAUUUGGAAACCAGGGCUCUGGGAGGUGAACUGACGCUCCAUGUCCAUGUCUUCUUCAGUCCCAGGCGUGGCCUUCGUUCCCGACCCAGGCCCUGGCUCCACUGGCUCCUCCCUGAAGAAACCAGAGAGAGACCCACAGAGUCAGAGAUUGUCCCUGGUUCUGGCUCUGAGUUCUUCUGGCUGCACCUUGAAAGUCUCAGCUGCUCAGAAGAUCAAGAUCCUGAGGGGGGGGGGGAGGAUCUUGAGUAAAUCCCUGUAGGCAGGGCCCAGCUGAAUCCGUCCUCUCAUGGGGGCAUUCUGGGGUGGGGCUGGGGUGAGAGUAAGGGGUCUGAGUGGCAAUGAGCUGAGGCUCUCAGGAUUAAUAAGCCAUGUCCCAUGUGAAGGCAGAGCAGUUCCAUACCGACAGGAGGAGAGCUGGUCAGUGAGCUGUUAAAAGCAGAUUUGCCAUAGAUGAGUGCUGGGUGAUGGUCCCCCAGGGAGGUCUGCAUCCAUUAGCACUUGUGGCUUUGCAAGGCCUUUGACUCUUUCCCCAUUCGGCUGAGCAAUGGCCUCUCCCCUCCAGGUCGGCUGUUUAGGCCUGGAGAGUUGCUGGAGAGUCAGGCUGCCAGAGCCGCCCAGAGCCCGGUGUGCUGGGGCCACAGCUGCCUCCGUUGUCCUCUUAGAGACGAGCAUGACCCACCCCUCUGCAGACCCUCCUCUACUUACCAUCUGUUCCUGUUCGUCCCCCACCGUCACUCCUUACAGGUGUAAAGGAGGAUUUCUGAGACUUUCCCUCAGGCCUCACCCUAGUCGUUUUGGAUGAGGUCAUGAAGUCCAAGUCCCCUGACCUGGGUCACCCUGCCCUUUGCUUUUUGAGAAGGAAGUUUCUGCUGCUUUUGUAUUGUCCUGGGCAAGACACCGUCCUCUCUUUGGGCAGUUUUUCCUUAGAGCUGCACACAGCCUCUUGGG